GGCGGCAGGCCUAAUACAUGCAAGUCGAACGGAUCCUUCGGGAUUAGUGGCGGACGGGUGAGUAACACGUGGGAACGUGCCCUUUGGUUCGGAACAACUCAGGGAAACUUGAGCUAAUACCGGAUGUGCCCUUCGGGGGAAAGAUUUAUCGCCAUUGGAGCGGCCCGCGUCUGAUUAGCUAGUUGGUGGGGUAAAGGCCCACCAAGGCGACGAUCAGUAGCUGGUCUGAGAGGAUGAUCAGCCACACUGGGACUGAGACACGGCCCAGACUCCUACGGGAGGCAGCAGUAGGGAAUCUUGCGCAAUGGGCGAAAGCCUGACGCAGCCAUGCCGCGUGAAUGAUGAAGGUCUUAGGAUUGUAAAAUUCUUUCAGCGGGGACGAUAAUGACGGUACCCGCAGAAGAAGCCCCGGCUAACUUCGUGCCAGCAGCCGCGGUAAUACGAAGGGGGCUAGCGUUGCUCGGAAUUACUGGGCGUAAAGGGCGCGU
RNAcentral lists this ribosomal RNA (488 nucleotides) under uncultured Alphaproteobacteria bacterium. RNAcentral's name for it is "bacterial SSU rRNA". It matches the Rfam family "Bacterial small subunit ribosomal RNA", at positions 38 to 572 of the family's 1533-position model. Lineage: Bacteria; Pseudomonadati; Pseudomonadota; Alphaproteobacteria. The record is from RNAcentral.